CAGCAAUUGACGUUACCCGCAGAAGAAGCACCGGCUAACUCCGUGCCAGCAGCCGCGGUAAUACGGAGGGUGCAAGCGUUAAUCGGAAUUACUGGGCGUAAAGCGCACGCAGGCGGUCUGUCAAGUCGGAUGUGAAAUCCCCGGGCUCAACCUGGGAACUGCAUUCGAAACUGGCAGGCUUGAGUCUUGUAGAGGGGGGUAGAAUUCCAGGUGUAGCGGUGAAAUGCGUAGAGAUCUGGAGGAAUACCGGUGGCGAAGGCGGCCCCCUGGACAAAGACUGACGCUCAGGUGCGAAAGCGUGGGGAGCAAACAGG
RNAcentral lists this ribosomal RNA (314 nucleotides) under Salmonella enterica subsp. enterica serovar Lubbock. Its description in RNAcentral is "bacterial SSU rRNA". It matches the Rfam family "Bacterial small subunit ribosomal RNA", at positions 463 to 776 of the family's 1533-position model. The record is from RNAcentral. Lineage: Bacteria; Pseudomonadati; Pseudomonadota; Gammaproteobacteria; Enterobacterales; Enterobacteriaceae.